GAUCAUCCAAGGACAAGCUACUA
This 23-nucleotide non-coding RNA is filed under the name Arabidopsis thaliana (thale cress). Lineage: Eukaryota; Viridiplantae; Streptophyta; Magnoliopsida; Brassicales; Brassicaceae. The record is from RNAcentral.